Molecule: ribosomal RNA, 484 nt
Filed under: uncultured bacterium
Lineage: Bacteria
Description: partial 16S ribosomal RNA
Rfam family: Bacterial small subunit ribosomal RNA
Source: RNAcentral
AUUGAACGCUGGCGGCAGGCCUAACACAUGCAAGUCGAGCGGAUGAAGGGAGCUUGCUCCUGGAUUCAGCGGCGGACGGGUGAGUAAUGCCUAGGAAUCUGCCUGGUAGUGGGGGAUAACGUCCGGAAACGGGCGCUAAUACCGCAUACGUCCUGAGGGAGAAAGUGGGGGAUCUUCGGACCUCACGCUAUCAGAUGAGCCUAGGUCGGAUUAGCUAGUUGGUGGGGUAAAGGCCUACCAAGGCGACGAUCCGUAACUGGUCUGAGAGGAUGAUCAGUCAAAACUGAAACUGGAACCCGGCCCAACUCCCUAGGGGGGGCAGAGGGGGGAAAUUUUGGCAAAUGGGGAAAGCCCGAAUCCACCCAGCCGGGGGGGUUAAAAAAGGCCUUGGAUUUUAAAAGCCCUUUAUGUGGGGAGAAAGGGCAGGAAGUUAAUCCUUUGCGUUUUUACGGUACCCAAAAAAAAAACCACGGGUAACUUUGUG